AUUGAACGCUGGCGGCAGGCCUAACACAUGCAAGUCGAGCGGAUGAAGGGUGCUUGCUCCUGGAUUCAGCGGCGGACGGGUGAGUAAUGCCUAGGAAUCUGCCUGGUAUUGGGUGAUAACGUCCGGAAACGGGCGCUAAUACUGCCUACGUCCUGCGGCAGAAAGUGGGGGGUCUUCGGACCUCACGCUAUCAGAUGAGCCUAGGUGGGAUUAGCUAGUUUGUGGGUUAAAGGCCUACCAAGGGGACGAUCCGUAACUGGUCUGAGAGGAUGGUCGGCGACACUGGAGCUGAGACACGGUCCAGAGUCCUACGGGAGGGAGCAGAGGGGAAUAUUGGGCAGUAGGGGGGAACAUGAUCCAGCGGGGGGACGCGUGUGAAGAAGGUCUUCGGAUUGUGAAGAACGUUAAGGUGGGAGGAAGGGCAGUAAGUUAAUACCUUGCGGUUUUGACGGUACCAACAGAAUAAGCACCGGCUAACUUCGUG
Molecule: ribosomal RNA, 484 nt
Filed under: uncultured bacterium
Lineage: Bacteria
Description: partial 16S ribosomal RNA
Rfam family: Bacterial small subunit ribosomal RNA
Source: RNAcentral